This 239-nucleotide long non-coding RNA is filed under the name Elaeis guineensis (African oil palm). Its description in RNAcentral is "long non-coding RNA (EGUI_LNC053825)". Lineage: Eukaryota; Viridiplantae; Streptophyta; Magnoliopsida; Arecales; Arecaceae. The record is from RNAcentral.
AUUAAAAAGAUAAAAAUCCUUGUGAGAUAAGGACUAGACUUUUUUAGAUUGAUUGGAUCUUGAUUUGAAAUCAAGAAAAGGUCUAUAUAAAAGAUGGUCUCCUAGGGUUUUAUAAUUAAUUUUGAAGGAAUUAAAAUUUAGAUCUCUUUCUCUCUCCAUCUCUAUGUCACACCUUCCUCCUCUCUUUCCAAUGCCCAAGGAUUGGGCAUCUCAUCAUUCCACAUGUUUGAGUUGCAGGC